This 253-nucleotide ribosomal RNA is filed under the name uncultured bacterium. Its description in RNAcentral is "partial 16S ribosomal RNA". It matches the Rfam family "Bacterial small subunit ribosomal RNA", at positions 524 to 776 of the family's 1533-position model. The record is from RNAcentral.
UACGAAGGGUGCAAGCGUUACUCGGAAUUACUGGGCGUAAAGCGUGCGUAGGUGGUUUGCUAAGUCGGAUGUGAAAGCCCCGGGCUCAACCUGGGAAUGGCAUUCGAGACUGACAGACUAGAGUGCGGUAGAGGACGGUGGAAUUCCCGGUGUAGCGGUGAAAUGCGUAGAGAUCGGGAGGAACACCAGUGGCGAAGGCGGCCGUCUGGGCCAGCACUGACACUGAAGCACGAAAGCGUGGGGAGCAAACAGG